UGCACCCGUAGACGUUUCUACUCUUGAUGAGAAGGCUAGAUUUGAUUUUCUCGGAUCUAGCAUUACACAAGCUAGGAAGUACUUGGUGGAAACUGAGUUUUUCAGAAGGUGCGAGGAGUUUGAAAAAAAUGGCAAUGUGUCUGUUGGUGACAUUUUUGUCCAAUUUGCGAAGAACUACUUUGCCAGGGCAAUAGUGUCUUGUGCUCUUGUGGACAAUUUUUCUGGUGGAGACAUUCAAGGUAUUUUUCAUUUUUUAUGUUUUUCAGUUAGCUUAUUCACUAUGUUUUUGUUAAUUUAUCUGUUUUUAUACAGAUUUUGUUCUUGUUUUGUUUUGUUCAGUUAAAUGUAUUUCUGCUAGUGGGGAAUAUUUGUCCUUCACAUCCAAUGUUGCUCAAGUGUACCUGGACUCAUAUGUAGAUUUAGAGAUACACAAGGACAUAGUGUUGUUGUUGUUUGUAUCAAUUGAGUCAAAGGAUAGAGCAUAUGCUGUUUUAAAGUUAACUCCGUUUAAGAAAUGGGAAACUCUGGCAUUUUUUCAUCGGUUAGGUGUCUUUCGGAAAGCGUAUGUUCAUCGUAUUGUAUUUGCCAAGUUUGGGGAUGAAAUUAAUUCGCUUGCGGACCAUACGAAGGAUCUGUUCAAUUCAAAAACAGGUAGUAUUGGGCCGAAAUUUGCUGAUUUGGGUAAGGUGAAGGAAAUUUUCUCUAAGGUGACGCGAGUGAGAUGUUUUGGGUUUCCAGCCAUUGAAUACAAAGGUGUCCAGGUGUCAGGGCUCUUUCCUAGUUCCGACGAUGUUGCCAUCAAGGAACUGCUUUGUGGCAAUUGUGUUGCUGGGUGGGUUUGAUUCCUGACUUACAAGUUCAACGGGAUCUUUACUAUGUUAAUAGGGAAUUGGGUAUUGGUUUAAAUCAAUAUGCUAUGUUGAAUUAUGCCAUGCUUGUUAGGUUUUGUGGAGAUUGUAUAGAGUUUAGAUUAGUCACAAUAAAACAAAAGUUCAGAGUUUAGGUGCUUACUACACUUACACAAUCUCCACACAACCUGACAAGCAUGACUUGUUUCAACAGAGCAUACUGAUUUAAACCCAAUACUCAAUUCCUAUUAACAUAGUAAAGAUCCCGAGGAACUUGUAACUUAGGAAUCAAACCCACCCAGCAACGCGAUUGCCACAAAGCAGUUCCUUGAUGGGAACACCGUCGGAACCAGGAAAGAGCCUUGACACUCGGACACCUUUGUAUUCAAUGACUGGAAACCCAAAACAUCCCACUAGCCUCACCUUAGAGAAAAUUUCCUUCACCUUUCCCAAAUCAGCAGACUUCGGCCUAAUCCUACCUGUUUUAGAAUUGAACAGAUCCUUCAUAUGGUCAGCAAGCAAAUUAAUGUCAUCCUCAAACUUGGCAAAUACAAUACAAUGAACAUACGCUUUCCGAAAGACACCCAUCCGAUGAGAGAAGGCCAAAAUUCCGCAUUUCUUUAACAUAGGAGUUAACUUUAAAACAGCAUAUGCUCCAUCCUUUGACUCAAUUGAUACAAACAACACCUUGUCCUUGUGCAUCUCCAUACGAGUCCAGGUACUUUUGAGCAACAUUGGAUGUGAAAGACAAACAUUCUCCACUAGCAGAAAUACAUUUAACUGAACAAAAUCUCUAUAAAUUAACAAAAACGUGAAUAACCUAAAUGAAAAAUACCUUGAAUGUCUGCACCAGACGUUAAGAUCUUUGAAUUUAAAAAAAAAACACAUAAAUUUAAGGUUGGAUACAUUAAUAAGGAUUAAAAAAGGAUACCUUCUGAAAAACUCAGUUUCCACCAAGUACUUCCUAGCUUGUGUAAUGCUAGAUCUGAGAAAAUCAAAUCCAGCGUUCUUAGCAAGA
Malus domestica (apple) is the source of this 1866-nucleotide non-coding RNA. NCBI's taxonomy places the organism in Eukaryota, Viridiplantae, Streptophyta, Magnoliopsida, Rosales, Rosaceae. The record is from RefSeq and is a predicted model, not a curated record.